CUAGAGUCUGCUAUUGUUCCUCUUAACCCGAAUCCACUGUCUUUGCACAUUCUCCAAUGAGAACUGGCCGGUGUGAGCUUUGAAGCCGAAAUCCACAGCGCAAGUCGCCAAUCAAACAAACCAGUCAGACAAACAGGGAGAGCGAGAGAGAGCGAGGAAAGAGCGUGCGUCUCAUAUGGACUAACAGAGCCGCGCUCGUGAUCAGUGCACGAUCUUCUGCCACUGGAUACCGGAAAGGGCCUCCUGAUCACCAUCUAUCAAAGCACAGCGAUUGAGCCUGAGAAUAAACGAGAAGGACUAUGACACAGGCGCUCAAGAGGCCGUGCACACGAGAUCGACUUGACAACUUUGGGCUCCUGAGCUCAAAUACAUCUGUAUUUAAGAUACGUUUAUUUAAUAGGACCAUCUGAGCCACAUGUGAGGAAACGUUGUGUAGUUAGAGCCUAAUGAAACAGUUGCGCAACUUAUAGCGCCAUCUAGCUCCUUUCUGUGUUCCUCCUGUGCACUGCAGCACCCCCUACAGGAACAUGUCUGCAGCGCAGACUCAGAAUGACCGGGAGCAGUGCUGGGGUUGUCUGGAAUCGCUCGGCCUCAGCCAGAGGGAGCUGGUCCUUGCAGAGGCCCUGCAGAUGGAGUAUGACGCUCUCGCCCGCCACCGACAGGACAAGGCCCCAGCAAAUACUCUACCCCCUGAAACCAAGUCAUCGCCUGCAAAAAGCGAGCCCUCCCUGCCUAGACACGUUCCCAGUCCUCCUUGGAAUAAUUUGCAGCAGGGUGUUUCCGGAUCUGACCCCAUGCUCAACCACGUUCAACCCGGGGUGUCGAACUUAUCACAAUCCAGCAGUGAGUCUUCCGGAUUUAGUAAGGAGCCUCGUUACAUUCUGGAUGAAUGGAAAAGUGACUUCGAAGGAACGUCGCAGUUGCUGUCAAAAGGGCCACCGUCUCUAGAUGAGCCUCCGCCACCAGUACCACCCAGAAAUCCCAUCCUCCAGAACGAUCCGUUCAUUGUCCAUCGAAGCUCAGCCCCACGGGAUGUCAACUUGUUCACUCCUGAGGUGGACCAGCCCAAGCUUUCCUUCGGAGACACUCUGAACUAUGAUAACCUCAAUGACUCCCUGAGCAAGCUAAAUGAGGAUUGGCUCUCACCUAAUAGAAGCCAGAGAGCAAAUGGGGACAAAUCAGGGAAGACAGUAGCUCGCAGUAACACCCUUCCUCCUCAGAUUCCUCCCCGCACCUAUCUUCCAGCGCAGAAGAGUACUAGAAGCCAACGCAGAGUAUCAAUUGAUCCGGUAUCUCUAGGGUCCAGGCCAAAUGGCUUUGGUUACGAGCUCUUUCAGGUUUCUGAAGAGAGGGAUGAAGAAGUGGCGGCCUUCUGUCAUAUACUUGACUUGCUACGAUUGGCGUACCCAUGCAAUGACUACUCCAAAAAUACAGGCUUUGUUUGGAGUCCGUGUGUGGCACAAGAUGAACUGCAGCAGGGCCUGGGGGUCAGCAUAAAGGUCACGGUUUACAGUGACAACUUCAGAGAACCACUCACAUUCUCUUGUGAUGGAUCUUCAACCAUAGACCUGCUAAUUUAUCAGACUCUCUGCUAUGCCCAUGAUGACCUGGAUAUGAUUGAUGUGGACGACUACCUGCUGAAAAUCUGCGGCCAGGCAGAGUUCCUCAAAAACACUCAGACUCUGGCGAGCUUUGAGUACAUCCAGCAGUGUCUGAAGUUUGACUGGGACAUUCAACUCAUUCUUACCAAACGGAGUUCUGUCAACAUGGAGCUGGGCCGAACGGCAGAGGAUGAUGUUACUCCAUCCACCAUGAACCAAAGUAUUCUACUGCAAGAGAGGUCAAUCAAACAGACCGUGACCAGGGAGGCACUGACUCUUCUCCUGGAUACCUUUUACAAUGAGGCUGAGUCUUUCCUUUUAUCGGAGGUUGAGUUGCCGUUGCAUGUGGAGAGGUUAGUGCAGUCUGUGAAGGCUUUGUGUUCUUCUCUAGCAGCUGUUGAAACACCUGACAUCACUGCUGCCCUAAACCAACUGCCAGCAUGCCCCUGCAGACUACAGCCUAAAGUGCAAAAGGAUGUCAGUGUCUUGGCAAAGAGAGAAAACAGAGUGACAAUUGUGGAGAAAUUGACUGCAGCCAUCUUGGAUCUUGUGGAGUUGUACUGCAGCACUUUCAAUGCUAAUUUCCACACCAUGCCACACAGCAGCAGAUCCACAGCCCCCAUACAGGAAGCUGGAAUGGUCACCAACGUGCUUUCCUUCAGCGUUUAUGCGGCUCAUCGCAUCCCUAUCACAUGGGCUGCCAGCUAUGAAAAUUUCUUCCUGUCCUGUUCUCUUACACAUGGCGGAGUGGAGCUUUGUGCCCCCCAGCACACCAGUAAACAGUCGGUCAGCAAAUAUCUCUUCCACCUGGUGGUGUGGGACCAGAGAGUUUGCUUCCCCAUCCAGAUCAACCAGUUGCCAAGGGAGUCACAGUUGACUGUAACACUAUAUGCCACCCCUGUACCGCCCCCUGGAGGUGCGGAGGAGAAGGGCAAACAGAAACGCAGCAUUGAGGCUUUGGGUUGGGUCACCAUGCCCUUAUUCAACUUUAGACAUGUUCUAACAUGUGGGAGGAAGCUGCUGGGUCUCUGGCCUUCAACCCCUGGCAGUGGAAAUGCUCGUUCCAGUUUGCCCAACUUCAGCCAGCCAGACAGUGUCAUCCUUCAGGUUUGGCCUUUUGCUCAAAUCAAAUUGUUGACUCCAGAGGACCGGCGUCUAUUGUGGGAGAAGCGUUAUUUCUGCCACGUUGAAGCCAGUCGUCUGCCGCUGGUCCUGGCCAGCGCACCCAGCUGGGAGUGGGCAUGUCUUCCUGAUAUCUAUGCCCUGCUCCGCCAGUGGGGAUGCAUGAACCACCUGGAUGCCCUAGGCCUGCUGAACGCCACGUUUCCAGAUCAGGAGUGCAGGCGGACAGCGGUCCAGUGGAUGGACUCAAUCUCUGAUCCUGAGCUUUUGGACUUCCUUCCUCAGUUAGUGCAGGCGCUGAAGUACGAGUGUUAUCUGGACAGUCACCUGGUGCGUUUUCUGCUGAGGAGGGCCAUUGGGGACAUACGCAUUGCUCACUACCUCUUCUGGUUGCUGAAAGAUGCUCUUCAAGACUCUCAGUUUAGCGUGAGGUAUCAGUAUCUGCUGGCGGCUCUUCUCUGCUGCUCUGGUCGUGGUUUGAGAGAAGAGUUUGAUCGGCAAUGCUGGCUGGUCAAUAUUCUGGCUAAAAUAGCCCAACGUGUUCGAGAUGCCUCGCCUUCAUCCAGACAGGCUAUUCUCCGGGAGGGUCUGGAUGAGGUCAAACAGUUCUUCUCUAUGAACAGCAGUUGUCGACUUCCUUUGAACCCGGGCCUGUUCGUCAAGGGCAUCAACAUACAGUCUUGCUCCUACUUCAACUCUAAUGCAGUGCCCCUCAAGCUGUCGUUCCAGAACCAGGAUGCUCUGGGGGACCACGUCAAUGUCAUCUUUAAGUGUGGAGAUGACCUGCGGCAGGACAUGCUGACGCUGCAGAUCAUCCGGAUCAUGAAUAAGAUCUGGAUCCAGGAGGGACUUGAUAUGAGGAUGGUCAUCUUCCGCUGUUUCUCUACUGGACGAGGCAAAGGCAUGGUAGAGAUGAUUCCCAGUGCAGAAACCCUGAGGAAGAUCCAGGUUGAGCAUGGAGUGACUGGUUCUUUCAAAGACCGGCCUUUGGCAGAUUGGCUGCAGAAACACAACCCCACUGAGGAUGAGUAUGAAAAGGCAGUGGAAAACUUCAUCUAUUCGUGUGCUGGUUGUUGUGUGGCCACAUACAUUCUAGGAAUCUGCGACCGCCACAAUGACAACAUCAUGCUUAAGACUAGCGGACACAUGUUUCACAUCGACUUUGGCAAGUUCCUGGGGCAUGCACAGAUGUUUGGCAACAUCAAACGGGACCGGGCUCCUUUUGUGUUUACAUCUGACAUGGCGUAUGUCAUCAAUGGAGGUGACAAGCCAUCCAGCCGUUUCCAUGAUUUUGUGGACUUGUGUUGUGAAGCCUACAAUCUGAUUAGGAAACAUGCACAUCUUUUUCUCAAUCUGCUUGGGCUGAUGCUCUCCAGUGGGAUACCAGAGUUGUCUGAUGUGGAUGAUCUGAAAUAUGUUUAUGAUGCUCUGAGACCACAUGAAUCAGAAGCAGAUGCCACCAUGCACUUCACCAGGCUAAUCGAGUCCAGUCUUGGCAGUGUGGCUACUAAGCUCAAUUUCUUCAUCCAUAACCUGGCCCAAAUGAAAUUUGCAUCCUCUGAGGAGCGUCCCGUUCUGUCAUUUGCUCCCCGUGUCUACACUUUAAAGAGUGAUGGUGUCAUUCGCAACCUAUUCGUCUGCAGACACAUCAAAACCUAUACUCCAAGCAAAGGCUAUUCUUAUGUUGUAAAAGUGGAGCGGGAAGGUCAGCAGGGGUCAACUUUAGUCCAGAGGACAUUUGAGGAGUUCCAUGAACUUCACAGUAAACUGCAGCUCAUCUUCCCUUCAUCAAAACUACCCAGCUUCCCCAGCCGCUUUGUGAUUGGUCGGUCUCGAGGAGAGGCCCUUGCAGACAGGAGGAAAGAGGAGCUAAAUGGAUAUGUUUGGCAUUUGAUCCAUGCUACUCAAGAGGUGGCACAGUGUGAUCUGAUCUACACAUUCUUUCACCCUCUACCAAGAGACGAGCGGGCAGGAAGUGUAGGAACUGUUGUUAAUGCACUCCAUAACAAACCAGCAGAUGUGUCCUGGGCUCCUGUUCCCGGUACAGUGGCAGGGGAAGUGAAGCUCUCAGUUCUGUACAAGAGCGACAAGCUUUUUAUCAUGGUGAUGCACAUCAGAGGCUUGCAACCUUUGCAGGACGGAACAGAUCCUGAUCCAUACGUCAAAUUGUACCUCCUCCCAGACCCUCAGAAAACUAGCAAGAGGAAGACCAAGGCAGCCCGGCGAACAUGCAACCCCACUUACAAUGAGAUGCUGGUGUAUGACAAGAUUCCACGUGGUGAUUUGCAGCAAAGAACCGUUCACCUGCGGGUACUGAGUGAGGGUGCAUUCUGGGAGAAUACCCUGCUGGGUGAAACCAUUAUUCAACUGAAAGACCUCACCCCGGGCCAUCGCUGGGUUGGCUGGCACCAGCUUGGCUCUGACAUAAACCGCUAACACUUGUGUGGAUGCCCAUUGGAAAUGAAGGAUUUCACAUGAGUCCUUCAGUGUGCAUGCGUUUGUGUCUGUCUUUGCUUAUGGGUCUGGAGUUGGAGAUGCCCAGCUGCUCAGAAGCCUGUUUCCCCCAGUGGGGGUUUGUGUUUGUUAAUUCUCCCAGGAGACGUGUAGAGUCGGUGAUGGAGUGUCAUCGCUUGAUACUGUUCUGGUGGGGUACCGUGCACCAUGUGAACCAGACCUUGGAUUUAUGGAAGCGGUUCUUGGUGACACUAUGGGACAAAAACCAUUUGGUGACACAAGGAUUGGCAGACAGAAUAUUUAAAGAUGAAAUAACUUUCAUGCGCCAUAUUUUUGGGGAGAUUUCUGGAAAAUUGAUGUCUGUGAAACUUUAAAGCCCCAUUUUGUCUUCUUGAGAAUGCUAAUGGAAAUUUAAGUUAUUUUUUUUUUAAGAUGUUUCUCUGUUGCAGCUCAAUUUUGAGCUAUGUUGUGUCCUGUGACAUUAGUUUUUCUCUUUGUAUCAGAUUUUGCAGACAUUUACCUAGGAAUUAAUAGUGAGGAACGCUUUUGUACUGUAAAGUUGGAUAAUUUCAGAUUGCCUGUGGCAUUUACCUGAUCAUGAAAAAGGGAUGAACACUUAAUAGUCUUUGGCUUGAAAUUGUGGAAUUAACUUGCUUCAUAUAACCACUGCAGGAAGUGACACAAACAGUACAGAGGGAAUGUAGAUUUUUGAUCAUGUAAAAUAGGUGGGUUCAUAAAAAAAGGAAUUGCAUGUACAGUAUAUUGAGCAAAGGAGACAAACCAGGAAUAUGAAUUUUGUUGCAUAAACCUCUAAGAUUUGUUUCUUUCCAAAAUGAUGGGGCGCAACUUUAUAUGCAGAAAAGGCUUUUGAAGGGACUUGAUUUUGCCUUGUUGAUAUAAGCAUAACCUACACAAGGACAUUUCUGUUUGGAAAUAGUUGAUUUGCAUGUUGUAAUAUUUGCUACUGGAUAAAUAUUGCAUUUUUGCAUUUGUUUGUCAAGUAUAUUGACCUCACAUUUUUCCAAGUUUUAUUGGUUAAUUUUGUGUGUGUGCGCCAAAGGGGGAGUGAAAUGAAUGCUUUAGACUGUAGUUAGGUCAAUUUCCAUUCCACAUUUGUACAGUAUGUAAAACUGCAUGUAAAUUAAAUGCUAAAUAUACCACAGGAGUUUUUUUUUUUUUUUCAACUUAAAGAUUUUGCAUUUAGAUUUGCUUUACUUUGCACUCAGUUUGAUUUUGAGAAGAACAACCUUAUAGCUCAUAUAAGUUUAGAAAAGAAAUUAAGUAAUUGGAAAUCUAUUUAAAUUAUAUUUGAUCUUACUUGCAUAAAAUUGUCUAAUUUAACAAAGUGGCAUUGAUGUUUGUGUUACAAAAAUAACCUACAAGUCAAAAGUGCAACCCCUGUAUGCGGAGGUGCUCUAACAAUCCAGUAGCCUUAAGCAAACUUAUAGGUAAGAUUAUCCAGUUCAAAGCAGUCCCUGUUCUAUAGCUCUUUCUAACCAGACAAACCAGCUCCAUUUCAGAUAUGAAGUACAUUUUCCCAAGUAUUGAACUUUCCUUCAAAUGACAAAUGGUUGUGUAUGUGUAUUUUUUCCCUCCAAAGGGCACUAUUGUGUGAUGUUUAACCUAAUGGGAAAUGAUUGUAUGAUUGCAUGCCAACCCAUAAUGCAAAGCUGAGUGUUUUAGAAAAAAUAAUAAUAAUAAUGUUUUGUGUGUGUAUGCAGAAGAGUUUGGAUUUAAACGUAUAGUACUUUUAUAACAUCUGUGACCCUUAUUUUAAUAAAUAAAGAGGAUGUGAUUAAAAUCA
Molecule: long non-coding RNA, 6981 nt
Organism: Cyprinus carpio (common carp)
Lineage: Eukaryota; Metazoa; Chordata; Actinopteri; Cypriniformes; Cyprinidae
Source: Ensembl